AGGGCGUAUGGGGGAUGCCUAGGCUCUUGGAGGCGAUGAAGGACGUGUUAAGCUGCGAUAAGCUUCGGGGAGGUGCACAAGACCUUCGAUCCGAAGAUUUCCGAAUGGGGCAACCCAGUAGAUUGAAGAUCUAUUAUUCUAUUUAUAUAGAAGGCGAACCUGCUGAACUGAAACAUCUAAGUAAGCAGAGGAAGAGAAAACAAAAGUGAUUCCGUAAGUAGUGGCGAGCGAACGCGGAUUAGCCCAAACCAGUGUUGUUGCGGCAAGACUGGGGUUGUAGGACCACGUGAUCGAUUAUAUAAAUGAAUGAGAACUGACUGGGAAGGCGGGCCAUAGAAGGUGAGAGCCCUGUAUCGGUAAGCUUAUAUAAUUGUAGUGGUAUCCUGAGUAGGGGGGGACUGGAGAAAUCCCCUUUGAAUCUGCCGGCACCAUCCGGUAAGGCUAAAUACUACCAAGAGACCGAUAGUGAACGAGUACUGUGAAGGAAAGGUGAAAAGUACCCUGAGUAAGGGGGUGAAAAGACCCUGAAACCAUACGCUUACAAGCGGUCGGAGCCCUUUCGUGGGGUGACGGCGUGCCUUUUGCAUAAUGAGCCUACGAGUUACUUUCACUGGCGAGGUUAAUCACGUUGACGUGAGCAGCCGGAGCGAAAGCGAGUCUGAAUAGGGCGCUUAGUCAGUGGGAGUAGACGCGAAACUUUGUGAUCUACCCAUGAGCAGGUUGAAGCUCCGAUAACACGGAGUGGAGGACCGAACCAGUUUACGUUGAAAAGUAUUUGGAUGACUUGUGGGUAGGGGUGAAAGGCCAAUCAAACUGAGAAAUAGCUCGUACUCCCCGAAAUGUUUUUAGGAACAGCCUCGGGGUUAAGUUUUAAGCAGGUAAAGCUACCGAUAGGACUAGGGGGAGUCAAAUCCUACCAAAUCCUGACGAACUCUGAAUGGCUUAAAAUAUACCCGGGAGUGAGGGUUGGGGUGCUAAGGUCCCAAUCCGAGAGGGAAAGAACCCAGACCAACAGCUAAGGUCCCAAAAUCUUUACUAAGUUGAACUAAGGAAGUCUGAUUGCAGUGACAGCCAGGAUGUUAGCUUGGAAGCAGCUAUUCAUUUAAAGAGUGCGUAACAGCUCACUGGUCGAGCGAGGCGGGCAUCGAUAAUAAACGGGCAUCAAGUAAAGUACCGAAGCUUUGGAUUAUAUUUAUAUACUGGUAGGGGAGCAUUCUGAUCUGCGGAGAAGGUGAAGCGACGAGCUUUGCUGGAGCGUUCAGAAAAGCAAAUGUAGGCAUGAGUAACGAUAAUGAGGGCGAGAAACCCUCACGCCGAAAGACUAAGGUUUCCUCAGCUAUGCUAAUCAACUGAGGGUUAGUCGGGGGCUAAGGGUCUAGCGAAGGCGACAACCUAAUGCACAACAGGUUAAUAUUCCUGUACUUACUUAUUGGGCAAAUAGAUGACGGAGAUUACAGGUUACCAGAUACUGACGGAAUAGUGUCUUUGAGAGGCGGCAGCAAUGCCAAAACGAGUGUAGUGAGUAAACUUCCAAGAAAAGUCUAGGCGUGUAUAACUAAUAAGUAACCCGUACCGUAAACCGACACAGGUGGUCGAGAAGAAUAUUCUAAGGCGCUCGAGUGAAUCACGGCUAAGGAACUCGGCAAAUUAACCCUGUAACUUCGGGAUAAAGGGAGCCACGAGCAAUCGUGGCCGCAGAGAAAUGGCCCAGGCGACUGUUUAACAAAAACACAUGGCUUUGCUAAAUCGAAAGAUGACGUAUAAGGCCUGACACCUGCCCGGUGCUGGAAGGUUAAGGGGGGAUGUUAGCCGCAAGGCGAAGCAUUGAACUGAAGCCCCAGUAAACGGCGGCCGUAACUAUAACGGUCCUAAGGUAGCGAAAUUCCUUGUCGGGUAAGUUCCGACCUGCACGAAUGGUGUAACGAUCUGGGCACUGUCUCAGCCGUGAGCUCGGUGAAAUUGUAGUAACGGUGAAGAUGCCGUUUACCCGCAACGGGACGGAAAGACCCCAUGAACCUUUACUAUAGCUUAGCAUUGAGUUUUGGUACUGGAUGUGUAGGAUAGGUGGGAGGCUGUGAGCCGGUGUCGCUAGGCAUCGGGGAGCCAACGUUGAAAUACCACCCUUCUUGUACUGGAAUUCUAAUCCCCAAAGGGGAGACAUUGCUUGGUGGGUAGUUUGACUGGGGUGGUCGCCUCCAAAAGAGUAACGGAGGCUUUCA
RNAcentral lists this ribosomal RNA (2219 nucleotides) under marine metagenome. RNAcentral describes it as "bacterial LSU rRNA". It matches the Rfam family "Bacterial large subunit ribosomal RNA", at positions 14 to 2312 of the family's 2925-position model. The record is from RNAcentral.